GGGCGUGAACAAAGCAAAAUGGAUAUACAGGAUUGAUAUAGCCUGCUCUGAUUUGUUUGGGAUUGAGAUUACUUGAUUGAUAUAUUGGAAGUUUCAUUUUUUCCCUUUUUAGCGCCUUUAGUAUUCUGUGUAUUCGGCGCUUUCUCCUUUUUUCAAUUAACCUCAUUUCUUGUGUCAUUGAAGUUCUGGAAAUUCGUUCAUUCAUAUGCACUUUAUUUUGAAUACUCUCGUUUGGUACGUCCAUUCCAUCUCCAAGAAUGGAUUUUUAGUUUAUGUUUCUGUUAUUUAUCCCGUGCGUGUCCAGUGCUUGCUAUCUUUGGGCGGGUAUAACAUUUUCAUCUUCUAUUUUUGUUGAAGAUCUGCUAUUUGCCACUUAGGUGCUAUUAUUGUGCUUUCUCUUUUCUAUUCUUGAACUAAUUGCUACUCUAUUUACUUGUUACAAGCUAUUGGCUAAGUGAACCCGAAAGUGAUUUCUGCUGAAGUUUGGUUGAUAUUGAAUUUGUUCUCGGACAAGUUAUUGUCUGCUCUUUUGUAGAACUGAUGUCAACUAUUCGAUCCUUGUAAAGCCACCAGCUGUUUUUUUUUCCUUCCUGUGUUUGUAUGGCGGCAAAGUUUUUUGAUUACCUUGAUUAUUGGAUAAUCUUUUCUCCAGAAAAAUGUUUUUCACCGAAAUGGAGAAAUUGACUUUUGUCACGGGUGGAAGUCAUUUCCUUUUAGAAAUAUUCCAACUUUAUUUAAUCCUCACUGUCCUGUUUCCAUUGCAUUUUAUGAGAUCUGUUACAAAAACUAGUGCUUGCUGACCAAUAUUUUAGCAGAAAUCUAGCUGAAGAAAUUACGUUUCUUUGAUGCGAGUCUCAGUCUCUCAGAGAUGCAAUGUGCACUUUAAAGGGAUUAUGCAUUGGUAUUAGAAAGAGCACCACGGCACUUGAUCAGUUGAUCUCACUGUACCACUACAUCAUCUUUGUUUUCUUCAAACUAGUUUUGGCUUCAUCUGCUCUUUAGCUCUUUUGCUGGUGCAAUUGUUGUUCGGUUAGCCUUAGAACCCUAUAAGGCUUGUGUUAGAGUUAUCCAUUGCAUAUCCUUCCCCGGACCCUGCAAUUAACCAGAAUGAUUUUAUGCAUGCUGUCCGAUCAAAAUCUUCAGUUUAAAUCUUUUUGCUUUUGCUGCAAAAAUUACCUUAAACUAAACAUCAUUUUAGUUGAUAUAUAUAUAGCUAUUGCAGUGUGGAACCCGAUCCAAUACACUAUAUAUUGUGGCGUGCAACCCGAUCCAAUAUAAUACAUGUUGCGGCGUGCAACCCGAUCCAAUAUAAUAUCUGUUAUGCGUGCAACCCGAUCCAGUAUAAUAUCUGUUACGCAUGCAACUCGAUCCAUAUAUAUAUAUAUAUAUAUAUAUAUAUAUAUAUAUAUAUAUAUAUAUAAUAUCUGUGCUAUUCUCAUGAGGCAAUCCAUUACGUUGUCAUCCACAAGCAGAUCCUGAAAUAACAGGAAUAAAGAAAGAUGAACCUAAUACUCCUUAUAAUAGGCUCAAGUCUGAUUCUGGAGUGAAACAUGGUGUGCAAACCUGAGAGAGAGUGAACGUGAGAGGGAGAAGAAGAGGGAACUUAAUAGGACUCCAUAUAAGCUAUGUUGCUCGAACUAUCGGAAAAUGUCGUGGGUGCAUGUCGGGUCUUCCAAAAGUAGUGCAUUUUUGGAGAAUCCGACAUGGGCGCGGUAGCAUUUUGGAGAGUCCGUGCACAUAGCAUAUAAGUAGGAAGUGAAAUUUAGAAAUCAGUAUGUUAUAGACUAUAAUAAACUAAGCUAGCAAGGAUAGUGUUUCAUGGAUUUUCAUCUACUGGUAGUAUACAACAUGUGGGGGAACUAUGUAAACAUCGAAAUCAGUCCUGCUUCCUGGUGACAAAUCAGACAGCAGAAAUGAUAUUAACUUUGAGUUUACUAGAACCUUUGUUUUCUCGAAUAAGUGUAUAGAAUGUUAAUUAGUUUCCUGCCUCUCAAUCUCAAGAGUUUCAUUCUUUGCUGUACCUUUCCCAUAUUUUUCCUCUUGUAAUGGGCUUGCCAAUUUCAUUUAUGGCAUCAUGUUAGGAUAUAAUAAUGCAUGGUUCUGCUUCUCAGCUAACAUGUUUUAAUCUAUUUACUGGCUUUUAAGAUUAAAAAAAAGAUGAGUAAAGAUAGUUGGAUGAAAGAAGCUAAAAUCUAUAUAUUGAGUCUUUGGAUCAUCAAUUUAAGAAGAGGCAAGUAUAAUGUACACCAACUUUUUCUUUUCUGUUCGCUGUUGCACUUUGUCUCUCCAUAUUAAAUGAACAAAAAUGCCGAAACUUUGUUUGUUGUCCUCUCGAUGAAAUGCAUUUCCUAUAUCCCUGUGGAUGCCCCUAUUUAUCCUUGUUUUGUCCGCUUCAUUGGCAGGUUGCAGUUAUUGCCCCAAACGUCCCCGCUUUGUAUGAAGCUCAUUUUGGAAUUCCA
This 2459-nucleotide long non-coding RNA is filed under the name Nicotiana benthamiana. Its description in RNAcentral is "long non-coding RNA (NBEN_LNC020769)". The record is from RNAcentral. Lineage: Eukaryota; Viridiplantae; Streptophyta; Magnoliopsida; Solanales; Solanaceae.